CCUACGGGAGGCAGCAGUGGGGAAUAUUGGACAAUGGGGGGAACCCUGAUCCAGCCAUGCCGCGUGUGUGAAGAAGGCCCUCGGGUUGUAAAGCACUUUCAGUGAGGAAGAACGCCUGGUGGUUAAUACCCAUCAGGAAAGACAUCACUCACAGAAGAAGCACCGGCUAACUCCGUGCCAGCAGCCGCGGUAAUAUGGAGGGUGCGAGCGUUAAUCGGAAUUACUGGGCGUAAAGCGCGCGUAGGUGGCUUGAUAAGCCGGUUGUGAAAGCCCCGGGCUCAACCUGGGAACGGCAUCCGGAACUGUCAAGCUAGAGUGCAGGAGAGGAAGGUAGAAUUCCCGGUGUAGCGGUGAAAUGCGUAGAGAUCGGGAGGAAUACCAGUGGCGAAGGCGGCCUUCUGGACUGACACUGACACUGAGGUGCGAAAGCGUGGGUAGCAAACAGGAUUAGAUACCCCUGUAGUC
Molecule: ribosomal RNA, 465 nt
Filed under: Vreelandella stevensii
Lineage: Bacteria; Pseudomonadati; Pseudomonadota; Gammaproteobacteria; Oceanospirillales; Halomonadaceae
Description: partial 16S ribosomal RNA
Rfam family: Bacterial small subunit ribosomal RNA
Source: RNAcentral